CUAUAUCCAUUCAAGCGAUGAAAGAUGAGGCAAACAAGAGAUGGAAAGAUGGGAAGAUAAGAGAUCAUAUGUCCUUCCCCUUCCUUUCUUCUUUACUAUUAUCUCGUUUCCCAAUAUUUACAAUCUAGAAAUGGAAAGAAAUGAAUGAGGGAAACGAUAGGAAAGGAA
RNAcentral lists this non-coding RNA (168 nucleotides) under uncultured Symbiodinium. The record is from RNAcentral. Lineage: Eukaryota; Dinophyceae; Suessiales; Symbiodiniaceae.